CUGCUGAGCGGGUGUUGCCCUUGCCGCUGUCCUGUGACGUAGCCCUUUUCAAAACCACCUCUCCCAAGUGCUGCACCACUCCUCCUCCAUGCCCAGGGACCGCGGGUGCUUGGGGCCCCGACGCGUACCCAGGUGCCAUCUGGCCCUCACCUCCCGCCGUAGCUGGCUGUGACGCCCGCCAUGGGCACACUGGGGCAGUGCAGUGAGAAGACGAGGAUGCCCAGCAGGCUGACAACGGUGCAGAACAGGCAGAACUUGAUGACCGCGGAGCCCCGGAGCCUGAGCUUGUUCACAAAGAAGCCGCCCAGGAAGGUGCCGCCACCACCCGCUGGCACCACCAGGGCAGCCACACCCCCUCCUCCCCCAGGGGCCUCUGCCGAGUCCCUGCAGGCUGUGACAAGGACAUUUGUCGAAGCCUGAGUGGCCACCAACAGUAAAAAAUUGCGAUUAGCUGGCAUCUAGCUUCUGGGCUGACAAGUGAGGAGGGCACAGACCUGCCCAGCCUGGGAAGGCCAGCCUGCCUCUGGCACCGAGAAACCCCCAGCUGCACUGUUCCAGGAGGUCCUGAGGCACCAGUGCCUGGCUCAUGGAACAGCCAGGUCCAAACCCUUCCUGCACCAAGUCACAGAAGCCAAGACUAGGUGGCUAGGGGGUGGAGCCCACCGUGGACCCUUCCACCUACGGAGCAUGUCCCACAAAGAGGGCAGGACCACCACUCUCCCGGCCUGUGGACAGAGUCGCUCAGCCCCCGUGGCGCUCUCCACACCUGCUCUGGCAGCGGGGGUGGGAGGGCACUCACUGCCAUGUGCCCUGUCUGGGUCUUUCUAGAAGAUGCCCUUGAAGACUCUGUUUCUGAGAACUGACAUAAAAGCAGAGGACCCCCAAGAUUCAGUUUUCUCACCAAACAAGGUGGCAGCUUCUGAGGCACUCAGGCUGAACUGGGACUCCAAGAACUUGGGGCUGAACGUGGACAUGCCGGUGAUGAGAGUGGCCUCGGUGGCCCCGGCCAGGCAGAGCAGGAUGAACGUGGGGUUCUUCAGCAGGAGCCAGAUGGAGCUGGGCAGAGUGUCGCUGACUUGAACCCCUGCGUCUGCAGCUUAGUGACAUCCUGUAAACCUACACUUUCCAGCCUCUCACCAGAGCAGACUGUCGGCCUCACAUCACCCCCACCUGCAGGAGGGCGGCUCUUUCCUCUCGGCCACACCUAGAGCCUGGUUCCGAUGAACGCAACUCUGAAUGCCUGGAACAUUCAAAUGCUCUUGUUUGAGGAGGUGGCCAAAUGUAAAUGGAUUCUGAAGAAUCAGGAACAGACGGUGCAGCCCUAGUUAGCCUCUGAGCCCCAACAGGCCCACAGGUGCCUUGCAGAGCUGAUGUUGGCGUCAGAAACUCCGCUCCAGCCUCACAGGCACUCUGCCUGCUUGGAGGUGUUCGCUGGCUCGCUCAGACUGACCUCAGCAGCCAUGAACAUGGGUUCUUUCUGUCCCCUUCCCUGAUUAAAAUGGGAGAGCCCAGUUCUUUCAAAAUUUAUUUCCUG
Molecule: long non-coding RNA, 1534 nt
Filed under: Homo sapiens (human)
Lineage: Eukaryota; Metazoa; Chordata; Mammalia; Primates; Hominidae
Description: long non-coding RNA NONHSAT189964.1
Source: RNAcentral